GGAAGAACGCCUGGCGGUUAAUACCCGCUAGGAAAGACAUCACUCGCAGAAGAAGCACCGGCUAACUCCGUGCCAGCAGCCGCGGUAAUACGGAGGGUGCAAGCGUUAAUCGGAAUUACUGGGCGUAAAGCGCGCGUAGGUGGCUUGAUAAGCCGGUUGUGAAAGCCCCGGGCUCAACCUGGGAACGGCAUCCGGAACUGUCAAGCUAGAGUGCAGGAGAGGAAGGUAGAAUUCCCGGUGUAGCGGUGAAAUGCGUAGAGAUCGGGAGGAAUACCAGUGGCGAAGGCGGCCUUCUGGACUGACACUGACACUGAGGUGCGAAAGCGUGGGUAGCAAACAGGAUUAGAUACCCUGGUAGUCCACGCCGUAAACGAUGUCGACCAGCCGUUGGGUGCCUAGCGCACUUUGUGGCGAAGUUAACGCGAUAAGUCGACCGCCUGGGGAGUACGGCCGCAAGGUUAAAACUCAAAUGAAUUGACGGGGGCCCGCACAAGCGGUGGAGCAUGUGGUUUAAUUCGAUGCAACGCGAAGAACCUUACCUACUCUUGACAUCCUGCGAAUUUGGUAGAGAUACCUUAGUGCCUUCGGGAACGCAGAGACAGGUGCUGCAUGGCUGUCGUCAGCUCGUGUUGUGAAAUGUUGGGUUAAGUCCCGUAACGAGCGCAACCCUUGUCCUUAUUUGCCAGCGCGUAAUGGCGGGAACUCUAAGGAGACUGCCGGUGACAAACCGGAGGAAGGUG
RNAcentral lists this ribosomal RNA (740 nucleotides) under Vreelandella aquamarina. Its description in RNAcentral is "bacterial SSU rRNA". It matches the Rfam family "Bacterial small subunit ribosomal RNA", at positions 443 to 1175 of the family's 1533-position model. The record is from RNAcentral. Lineage: Bacteria; Pseudomonadati; Pseudomonadota; Gammaproteobacteria; Oceanospirillales; Halomonadaceae.